UGAAGAUACCCUAAACUUAACCUAACCUAACCUAACAAAACCCCAAACAGUCACUAUAGGUCUUGACUCAGAAAAUUCAUAUAUGCUUCCUUACUAAUGAGACUUUCUAUACAACAAAGUGAGGUCAUUCUGUGUUGAUUUAUACCAUAAGGUGCUGGCUGUCAUGUGUUUGAAGAUACCCUAAACUUAACCUAACCUAACCUAACAAAACCCCAAACAGUCACUAUAGGUCUUGACUCAGAAAACUCAUCUAUACUUCCUUACUAAUGAGACUUUCUAUACAACAAAGUGAGGUCAUUCUGUGUUGAUUUAUACCAUUGAUUUGUGCCAUAAGUUCCCGCCUAUCAUGUGCGCGGGGGUCAGCCUGUCCGCUGGUGGCGCUGACAGAAAGGUUAUAUUGCGAUGGUAACGUUUCCUCUUUGCCAGGCUGAUUCUGCCCCACACUGCCGCCUCUGUCAUGGUCGCUGAGGGCAGGGAUGGAGGUCAGCAUGGGAGAGAUCGUCAGCCACUUGGUCAUGGAUGGAAACACUCAAGACGCCUCACUCAGCACCGGCCACUGUGACCACUCAGCCGCCGGGUCAUCAACGCAACCCUAGGACUGGUAUUAUUCCUGUGACAGAUUGAUUUGAGGUCACAGAGGUCAGGUUUCCAUGAGUGUAUUUUCACAUUCACAGAAGUCUUGUCAAACUAUCACUAGGUUCAUAAAACUACCCAUGGAUAUGUGAACACAACCUCCACCAAAGCCUUGCCAAAAGAGGGUGUUAGCGCCCCAGAAUAUGGGUGUAUGUUACAUCAAUGACUACUCCAGGCUGAUUCAACAUAGUCUGGGAACGCCAACUCUGGCUAUACAGGCACAUGGCACGCUGCCCAGAAGCUGACCCUGCUUACUGGGUGUUUAUAAGAAGCAACCCUGGGUGGAGGGGGCCAAGGGGAUGCCCACAGAGUUCAUGGCUCCAGCAAGUCAAUGGAUCCUGCUGUGAGGUGCUUGGGACAGGAAGGGCGCCUGCAUGGAGACUUGCCCAGAGAAACCCUUGGGAAGCCUGACUGGAUGUUUUAACUGACUUCAUUCAGUCGGUUCUUUAUUUGCACAUAAAACAUAAGUCAUAGACAGAGUCCAGCCAGCCCGGCAACGGUCACAUCUUACUGGGUGCUGUCCUAGUGCCACACGGAUAUGAGGAAGUCCCUUGAGUAGAUUGU
Eriocheir sinensis (Chinese mitten crab) is the source of this 1197-nucleotide long non-coding RNA. RefSeq lists it as uncharacterized. Lineage: Eukaryota; Metazoa; Arthropoda; Malacostraca; Decapoda; Varunidae. The record is from RefSeq and is a predicted model, not a curated record. The transcript has 3 exons.